CGGAGGAAAAGAAACUAACCAGGAUUCCCUCAGUAGCGGCGAGCGAAGUGGGAACAGCCCAAGAUGAAAAUCUCUUUGGAGAGUUGUAGUCUGGACAAUGUUGAGGGGUCAACUAGAGUAAGUCACAUGGAAUUGUGCACCACGGAGGGUGAGAGUCCCGUCCUGCUCUAGUAAGGGCUUUUUUUCUCGUACAACAUUGUUUCAACCGAGUCGGGUAGCUUGGGAAUGCUGCUCUAAGUGGUGGUAAACUUCAUCAAAGGCUAAAUACUGGUGGGAGACCGAUAGCGAACAAGUACCGUGAGGGAAAGAUGGAAAGCACUUUGAAAAGAGGGUGAAAAGCACCUGAAACCGUCAUGGGGGAAGCGAACUGCGCGAGUGUUGACCUGUUGGCUGCUCAGCCGUGCUUGAUUUUCUUUUUCUAAGCGCGGUGUAUUCAGUGCAGGUUGUGUGGAUGUGGCUGUGAAAUAGUGGAUGAUGCACUAAUUCAUGGUGAGGGCUCCCCUGCGCUUGCGGGGUGAGGACAUUCACGAAAUGACGCAUUUCGACCCGUCUUGAAACACGGACCAAGGAGUCUAGCACGACUGCGAGUCGAAGGGUGAUGGCAAGCCCAAGGGCGCAGUGAAAGCAAAAUGCAAAGUUUUCGAAUAAUGCACAGAUGGAAAAACUGAUCGAGGAGGCAUGGCGACGUUGUCAAAAUGUUCUACCUAGAGCAGUUGUGCUGGGACCCGAAAGAUGGUGAACUAUGCUUGAAUAGGGCAAAGCCAGAGGAAACUCUGGUGGAGGCUCGUAGCGAUGCUGACGUGCAAAUCGCUCGUCGAAUUUGAGUAUAGGGGCGAAAGACUAAUCGAACCAUCUAGUAGCUGGUUCCCUCCGAAGUUUCUCUCAGGAUAGCAGACCAACAAUGUUUUGUGUGUUGUUUUGUGCGGUAAAGCGAAUGAUUAGCGUAUUUGGGGGCGUAAAGCCUUCUGACGAUUCUCAAACUUUAAAUGCGCAAGAAAGAGGUUUGGUUGCUUGGUUGAACCCCUCAUUUUUUGAAAACGUUGGUCUUGUGGGCCACUUUUGGUAAGCAGAACUGGCGAUACGGGAUGAACCGUAAGCGUGGUUAAGGCGUCAAAUUGCGCGCUUACAGAUCCCACAAAAGGUGUUGAUUCAUCCAGACAGCAGGACGGUGGCCAUGGAAGUCGGAAUCCGCUAAGGAGUGUGUAACAACUCACCUGCCGAAUGAAUUAGCCCUGAAAAUGGAUGACGCUGAAGCGGGCAGCCGACACCACGCCGUUUGGGUAAGAUGUGACUCCAAAUGAGUAGGAGGGCGUGGCGGUCUUAAAAAGUUGAUUUUUGUGAGGAAGGUGAGGGCGCAAGCCCCACUGGAACGGCCGCUAGUGCAGAUCUUGGUGGUAGUAGCAAAUAUUCAAGCGGGAUCCUUGAAGGGCGAAGCGGGGAAGGGUUCCACGCUAACAUUGAUUGGGCGUGGGUGAGUCGUACCUAAGCCAGCUGGUAAUUGUUGAUCAAAACUGGCGAAAGGGAAGCGGGUUAAAAUUCUCGCACACGGAUGUGGAGGCGGUGACGCAAACCGAGUCGAAGACGUCGGUGAUAGCGCUGGGCAGAGUUUUCUUUUCUGUUUGACCUGCGAGACGCAUAGUGUGGAAUCCGAUUAUCGGGAGAAACACAUGCCGAGGGGCAGAGCGCCGGGAUUCUCCGGCGUCCAGCACGCUAUUGACGACCCUUGAAAAUUCGACUGGGAUAGUGCACUGUUUUUGUUUUUCAGGAAAGAAAAGCAGUGCUGCAAUUUCACGCCGUGGCGUACCGAUAACCGCAUCAGGUCCCCAAGGUGAACAGCCUCUGCUCAAUAUGAACAAUGCAGGUAAGGGAAGUCGGCAAAAUAGACCCGUAACUUUGGGAAAAGGGUUGGCUCUAGUGAGGCGGAGGAUUGGAUUUUCCUCGGAAAACCAAAAUUGGACAGUGGGGGGUCUGGGUAGGGCGCGGACUUGGUGGCUAGCAGGAG
This 2002-nucleotide ribosomal RNA is filed under the name Sporolithon sp. 1WA. RNAcentral describes it as "eukaryotic LSU rRNA". It matches the Rfam family "Eukaryotic large subunit ribosomal RNA", at positions 51 to 2064 of the family's 3401-position model. Lineage: Eukaryota; Rhodophyta; Florideophyceae; Sporolithales; Sporolithaceae. The record is from RNAcentral.